Molecule: ribosomal RNA, 254 nt
Filed under: uncultured bacterium
Lineage: Bacteria
Description: partial 16S ribosomal RNA
Rfam family: Bacterial small subunit ribosomal RNA
Source: RNAcentral
UACGGGGGGAGCAAGCGUUGUUCGGAUUUACUGGGCGUAAAGGGCGCGUAGGCGGUCAGUGCAAGCCAGUUGUGAAUUCUCCGGCCUUACCUCGGAAAGGCCAACUGAGACUGCUCGACUAGAGUGCGGAAGGGGCAACUGGAAUUCUUGGUGUAGCGGUGAAAUGCGUAGAUAUCAGGAGGAACACCUGCGGCGAAGGCGGGUUGCUGGGCCGACACUGACGCUGAGGCGCGAAAGCCAGGGGAGCGAACGGG